RNA transcript from Tripterygium wilfordii, 1046 nucleotides. RefSeq lists it as uncharacterized. The record is from RefSeq and is a predicted model, not a curated record. The transcript is spliced from 6 exons. NCBI's taxonomy places the organism in Eukaryota, Viridiplantae, Streptophyta, Magnoliopsida, Celastrales, Celastraceae.
CACAGCGCACGCUUGCUCGGUCACGCGCGGAGUCUCACAGUCAAAACUUAAAAGGGAAGAAUCGGAGAGAAGAAAAGAUAUUUGUUACGCAAGGUCCAUAGUGUGCCGAUUGGCGAAAGACUUGCUUAGCAGCUGACGCAUUUCAGAGUUAAACGAAGAUUUUAUUUCAGAGUAUUUCACAAGGCGAUGGUUGUUCUGUCUGCAGACAAUGGAGAUUAAUGGUAGCAAACCUCAUUCGGAUGAAAAUAAUCCUUCGGGAGGUUCAAAUAACGACAUCAAAGACAAUUCUGCCGAGAAAAAUAUCAAUAUCUUUGUUAACCAUGCUGAAAUUUCUUGGCACGAGAGACGAAACCAUUGGGUUGGAGAUGAGUCCAAGAAAUCACGAAAAGCACCUAGGGAGCCAAUUAUGAGCUGGACGACAACUUAUGAAGAGCUGCUUUCUUCUAAUGAACCUUUCCAUCAGCGAAUACCAUUAGCUGAGAUGGUGGAUUUUUUAGUUGACAUAUGGCACGAAGAAGGCCUCUAUGACUAGAUGACUGGGAAAUUUGUUGUGGUGGUUGCAAGUUAUUAUUUUGGCAGAUCGAUGGAGAUGAAGUCAAAUCCAUAGAGUUGUCAAUGUUGAGGGGGAGGAGGCGUCCAUUGUUCCAGCAGGUACUAUCACUGAUAAUUCCUGGCAUGUUUGGAAGGUUGUCAAUCUAAGACGACCUAACGACUAGAAUGGCUGAAGUGAGCUGGUCAUGAGAAUUGUGGGUGAGAGCCAUAAGGUUCCACCAUUUUUAAGGAGAGAUCCUGUCCCUUGGGUUGGGCUUUUGCCUGAUUUGGCCCCUACUUUUCUUUCUGAGAUAAUAGAAGAACCCUCUUCCCCCUUUUUCUUGUCAUGAACUCAAUUGUUAUUAGAUUCACCCUUUGUGUAAUGUUUGGUCAUGCAUCCUGUCCACAUUGAUGAUUGAUCUUCCUUUACAAAGAAAAGUCUAAAUAGAGAAAUGGCUGCUGGUCAAAGUCAUUGGAGUGUCUUCUGGGAUAUACUCUCUUCUCUGCGACCAUUU